GCCCUCUACACAAGUUAAAUAGCCAACACCAUCACCAAAGGCUUGAAGCGAGCAAGUAAACAUAGCGAGUAUAGUAACGAGAACACCUGGAGUCAGGGAAAAAAGGCUUGGCUAUACUAUUGCUACUGAAACCAAGAACUCUGCCAACGAAGAUGGAGUAAUAUGGAUUCAUAGUACAUAUUAAUUGAUCUACAUGCAGUAUUUGGAAAGAUAGUUGUAAUUGGUGAUUGCAAGAGUGCUAUCUAGCCCAAUUUGUUGAAGCAAUUUGUGAUUAUUUGUGGAGGCUUGGCUAGCGCCCGGAUCAUCUAAUUUUUGUUUUCGCGGUGCUGGUAGUACACAGCCAACAGUGAAAAUGGCGGAUUUGGAAGCAGUUUUAGCUGAUGUGAGCUAUUUGAUGGCUAUGGAGAAGAGCAAAACAACGCCUGCAGCAAGAGCAAGCAAGAAAAUUGUGCUACCAGAUCCAAGCGUUCGUAGUGUUAUGUAUAAAUAUCUUGAAGAAAGAGGAAAAAUAUCAUUUGACAAGAUAUUUAAUCAGAAGCUAGGAUUUCUAAUGUUUAAGGAUUUUUGUGAGACUAUCUUUGAAUCCCCUGUACCGCAGUUGGAAUUUUAUGAAGAGAUCAAAAAAUAUGAACAACUUGACUCUGAUGAAGAGAGAUUAAAAAGUGCAAGACAGAUUUUUGAUAAUUACAUCAUGAAGGAACUCUUGUCCAGUACACAUCCUUUCUCAGAAGAAGCAGUUGAAUCUGUAAGACAUAAAUUGACCAAACGUGAAGUACCAUCUAACCUGUUUGAGCCAUAUAUUGUUGAAAUUCUCAAUUCAUUACGCGGAGAUAUUUUCAAGAGAUUUUUAGAGAGUGAGAAGUUUACAAGAUUUUGCCAAUGGAAGAAUGUGGAACUUAAUAUCAAUUUAACAAUGAAUGAUUUUAGUGUACAUCGGAUAAUCGGUAGAGGUGGUUUUGGUGAAGUUUAUGGAUGUCGCAAGGCAGAUACUGGAAAAAUGUACGCAAUGAAGUGUCUGGAUAAGAAACGAAUUAAGAUGAAGCAAGGCGAAACUUUAGCUCUCAAUGAACGCAUCAUGCUGUCCCUGGUGGAUAGUCCUUUCAUUGUUUGUAUGACGUAUGCAUUCCAGACGCCUGACAAACUCAGCUUCAUCCUGGAUUUAAUGAACGGUGGUGAUCUUCACUACCAUCUCACUCAACACGGUGUGUUCUCGGAGAAGGAGGUGCGAUUCUAUGCCUCUGAAGUGAUACUAGGCUUAGAACACAUGCACUCUCGGUUCAUAGUGUAUAGGGACUUAAAACCUGCCAACAUUCUCCUUGACGAGAAUGGUCACGUUAGGAUUUCAGAUCUUGGUUUAGCCUGCGAUUUCUCAAAAAAGAAACCUCAUGCUAGUGUUGGUACGCAUGGUUAUAUGGCGCCAGAAGUACUUUCAAAGGGUAGUGCGUACGACUCGAGUGCUGACUGGUUCUCACUUGGGUGUAUGUUGUACAAACUUCUUAGAGGACACAGUCCAUUCAGACAACAUAAGACAAAGGACAAACAUGAGAUAGACCGUAUGACACUAACAAUGGAUGUUGAAUUCCCGGAUUCAAUGUCGAAUGAAAUGAAAACUCUGCUGGAGGGGCUGUUGAAGAGAGAAGUUUCCGAGCGUCUUGGAUGCCUUGGUCGAUCAGCACAGGAAGUACGUGAGCAUCCAUACUUUGAUGGAAUCGAUUGGAACCAAGUUUACUAUCAGAAAUACACGCCGCCAUUGGUUCCACCGCGGGGUGAGGUCAAUGCAGCAGAUGCGUUUGACAUUGGAUCAUUCGAUGAGGAAGAUGUUAAAGGAAUCAAACUUGCUGAUUCCGACCAGGAGCUCUACAAGAAUUUCCCCAUUACAAUCUCGGAAAGAUGGCAGCAGGAAAUAGCAGAGACCGUCUUUGAAACAAUUAAUAGCGAUGCCGACCGAGCUGAAGCAAAGAAAAAGGCCAAGAAAAUGGAUGAAGGAGACUAUGCACAAGGAAAAGAUUGUCUUUUACAUGGUCAAUUAUCAAAAUUAGGCGGACAGUUCCUGAAUUCUUGGCAGAAGCGUUAUUUCUUUCUAUUUCCCAAUAGACUAGAAUGGCAAGGAGACAACGAUAGGAACGUAACGUCCGCACAAAAUGUGUUAACAAUGGAUCAAAUAUUAGCUGUAGAUGAAGCCCAAAUCAAGACAUUCAAAUGUAUUCAGUUAAAGUUGAAACAAGACAAAAAAUGUAUAUUAAGGGCAGAGAGUGAUCCUGAGUUUGUGCAAUGGAUCAAAGAAAUCCGUGAGGCAUUUGAAGGAGCCCAGCGAAUGCUUCGGAAGGGUCCAAAGAUGUUUGCUGCCCAAGAUUUUAUGGAUCCCUGAAAGUCAAAAUUAAAUGACAAGAUCUGAUAGCGAAAAAGUGAGUUUCCGGUUUAAAUGUGAAUGAACUACAAAUGUUUUUAUAUUAUUACUGCUAUAAAUAUUAUUAUUAUUGUUAUUUAUUUUUAAUUUGCUUUAAUUCUCCUUUCUAUUUCAUGGAUAUAAAUGAAGUAUAUCUAGUUUCCUCUUUUGCUUUGUGUGCAUAAGAGAGUUGUGUUAAACUCUCUUUGCAUCGUCUUCGGACGUGUUUCUAACGUCAUAUACUAACUGUUGGCAUUUGUCUCCUAAUAACAACUGUUGUGAUCGGUUGAGCGUACCACUGCACUCUUUGGUAGUUUUUCCGCCGAUAAUGCAUCUUGCUGGUUCUUUUCUUUUCUUUCUAACAUUUCAUGUCUGUAUACCCGCUUUAUCAUGAUGUAAACAAUACCUAGAAACAGAUGGUCGUGGUAUUGUCUUCGUAUUGAUCUCAUUUGCAUACAUGGACAAAUUGCAGGUGUCACUUUGCUAAAAUAAUUUCUAGAAAUUUUGUCUCAAAUUUGUAGUUUAUACCUGUUAUAGAAUAUAGUUACAUUUUUUCAUUGACAGUUUCUUGUAUCCGUUGUAUGUUGUCUUUAUCCGUCAUAGUUUUAGCACUAGGUAAACAGUCUUAAAAAACGAGGGGAGUGUUGUAAAUUAGAAGUCUAUUAUAUAUGCACACACCCGAGGGGUUGCCUUGUUGUCAAUCAUACAGUAUGUUGACAUUUUAAAUUUAUUGUUGGCAUACCCACCAUGUUGGGCAAGAUGUGUGUAGUCAUAAUCAUUAUUGUGAUGAUGAUAAAUGAAAUAAAAUUGUAGUGGGCUCUACCAUUUUAACAAUUCAGUGUAAGACUGUUUAAAUGUUUCGUAUUGCUUUAUAUCUUAAAAAGAAACAAAGAUUUUUCCAUUUUUUUAAAUGUUUUAAUAAAGUCAUACAAUAGGAAUUAUGGACAUAAAGUCAAUCUUUAAACAUAGUGUACAUCUAUGAUUCAAAGUGAUUGUUUAUUUUUAAUGAAAUGUUUUAAUUAAUCUUUGAUUGGUCGACUUAUUGACAAUACCCUUGAUUAAAUUUCAUAAAUUUGAACCAAAAAGAAGCGUUUUGCAUGCUCUGGUCUGUUCCCUCACUGUAACAAUGGUAAAUGUUCCUUUGAAUGUGCAUGAGUAUAAUUCUUGAAGCAUAUUGGGAUAUCAUGCAUAUCACUUUUCUAAUUAAUACCAUAAGAAAGUAUGUCAAGUGUCACAUGACCAGAAUGUGCCUUUUGAUUGGUCAAUUUGUUCACUAGAAAAUACAUUGAAAUUGGACAAAUAUUUUAGGUUAUUGUUAUUAUUUUUUUUUUUUCCUUUCAUUUUUGUUGUUGCAUGUUUAUAUAUGUCAUGGGGACACAACUAUUAUUAGUAACUUGUUCAGUAAAACUCAUGUAUUAGUGAUAUGUACAGUAUAAAGAUUUUAUACCGAAAGAUGAACUCUGACUCUGUUAAAUGUCGGUGCUUCUUGUUUUACUGUAGCAAAAGUAGGUACACAUUUUUUUAAUGAUGAUAAAUGUUCUCUCCUAUUAAAAUAUUAAUAAUACUGUAUUUGUGCACCAGAUAUAUUUGUUAUUUUAAGAAAUUGUGAACAUGGAGUUGUUGAUUAAGUGGGGAGAGAAAAGUAUUGAAUCAUUAUGAAGUGGUCAGAAUUUGUGACAAAUGAAGCCAUUGUCUCUAUUGUACAAAGUACUAUGGAGGGCUAUUAUCUAGGCAUAUGUAAGAAAUCCAAAUUUGGAAUUUAUUGUGGAUAGUUUAAGAAAUUUCAGUAUUUUCUCAUAUUUUCUUUUUCCACACUAAAAACCUCUGAAAAUCACAUAUGAAAAUAUAAACCCUGUGUGUUUAAUCUAAGACAAAAAAAAAUUAUGAAUACUCAUGAGUUCCAAAAUGUUAAAUGGGGUUUUUUCCUGAGGAAUGCCUUGCAUUAUAUAAUGACCAAUGAAGGUUUUUGUAAUAAAUUCUAAUUUGUUAAAUACUGUCUUUUUAAUAUACCACUGUCUACGUAAUCUUUCUUCUUUUUUUGAGCCUGCAAUGGGGACUAGAUCAUAUAGUAAAAUUCUGUAUAAAAUCUAAAGAGUGAUAUUGUAAAGCAAGAUAGAUCAGUUACAGCUCAGGAAAGUUUCUCAACAGAAAUGUUUCAAAAAAUGUUUAUCAAAUCCAAGUUGUCAUGGAAACAGUGAUGACGUGCUAUGACAAGGCUAGGCACAGAGUUCAUUUUGUUUUCAUGACAAUCACUGAUUAUCUUAUUGGUCAGUGAAAGGUCGCUGUGUCAGAUGGUAUUCCACUUCUGUAGAUUGUAAUGAACACAAAGAUGUCACACAAUGUCAUGUAUAUAUGUAGUGUUGUUGUAUAAAAAAUGGAAGAUUGUGUUAGCAAUGUCUCAAUAAAUUUGGCUGUUUUAACUGCAUUUACAAGAAACUUUAAGGAGAGGAUAAAGAUUGUGAAUGCUUAAAAAGUUAACAAUAUUUUGUACUGCUAGGCUGCAUUCAUCUGAAAAGUUCAAAUUUGGUUCUGAUGAAAUAAUUCUGCUGUUUGUUUUAAAGUGUACUACACCAAACAAGUUUGUAGCAUGGGCGGUAGGCUGGGGGGGGGGGGUGAGUUCGGAUACACACCCGACGGAGGUAAAUUUUGUUCCACUAAGUGGGUUAUAAUAAAAAAAAAUACAAUUAAGUUUUCAUUGGAAAAGAGAAUUAGUAUUCUCUACUAUAACCUACCAGGCUAAAACCAUUCUAUGCCGGUGUGUAAAGUAUUAAUAUUCAAUUCAUACAUUCAAAAUUGUCUAGGAGUUGUUAUAUAUGUGUCCAAUUGUUAGUUCUAUUGUUUUAAUUUAAAUUAUUGUCCUGAUGUUUAAUACAUUCAAGAGAUUUUAAUUAUGACAUUUAUAAAUUAUAAUUUCAUGAAGUUAAAAAUCUGAUAUUUAUUUGUAACAUGUAGUCUGCUUCAAAGCUAGUAAAGAAAUAAUUUACCUCCAAUUGAACUAUGUAAUUUAUGAAAUGUAGAUACUUUUGCAGCAGCUAAAACAUUCAGUGAAAAUAAGUGUCAGACAUUAAAAUUAUUUCAAACUUAAAUUAUGUAAUCAAUUGCGCCCUCAGUGUUUAAACAUACAGACCAUAUGAAUGUAAAAAUCUCAUCCUCUUUAAUAAAUAAAAACAACAGUUUUCCUUUGAUAACGUCAUUUGUAACCCAUAUUUGGACAUGCAUUUCACUACAGUAUUAGGCAAUAUUUAUAAGACAGUUCUUUUGCUAAAAAUCCAACUUUAUUCAAAUUCAAAGUAAAGGUUAUAUAAUGCUAUAUUUGAUGAACAAUGUGGGACCUCAUAUUGGACAAAAUGGUGGACCGUAGAUGGAUAUAUCAUAACACAGGGCCUGUAGUUAUAAAUCCUUUUUGAAAUCGAAAUGUAUAUCUUUUGCCCCAUUAUUUAUUGAAUAUGUUUUUGCAGUAUAUUUUAUGAUGAAAUGAUAGGAAAAAAGUAGAUUAUAAAAAAUAUAUAUAUAUAUAUAUAUAUAUAUAUAUAUAUUCAUUAUAUAAUUAAUUACAGUAUAACAAUUUGAUCAGGGCUGCAGAAAUACUGAUUUUAUUCCAAGUGUUAUAAAGCAGCACUUUGAUGAUAGUUUCCCUUGCUAUUUAUUACCUUUUAUAAAACUAUCAGUCAUAAAGUUGGUUUAUGGUUUAUGAUGUUAGGCCAAAUAAAUAAAUAUAUGUUUCUCAUUUUGAUGGUUUGGCAGACAUAGACCCCCAUUGCUGAGGCCACUGGUGCAACUAUACAUCAGUGCUACUAUUCAUCAGUGCUUACAAAGAUGCUUGCAUUUAUGUAGGUUUUGGUUGUUUUGCCUAGCAUGUAUUAUUACCUUGUGACAAAAAAUAACAAGGUAGCAGCCAAAAACAUAGAGGGCGAAUUGGAAACAUAUUUUGUAUUUGCCCUGAAAUGGCUUCUUAAGAAUAUGUAGUCUGUUGGUUUCUCUGUCCAUGGAUGUUAAAACGAAUAUGGACAGGUCUGCUUUCAUAACUUAAUUAUCAGGUGACUCAAUAUUUUUAAAGUGGUAAUUAUAUAUGGUAAGCAGUAUUUCAAUUUACUGAUGUACUUGGGUCAUUUGACUACACCAACAUGUAGGCAGACCUUUGAAAUUUGAAUAUUUAAAUAAUAUAUAUAUAUUUGACCUAUGACCAUAUUUGGUGAUUCAGGUCACGUUGUGUCUUAUUUGAUCAUUCAAGCCUUGGGCUACCAUGUACAUGUAUUGAACAUAAUGUACUACAGACUUUAUUUUUUUUAUCAAAUCAAUAUGAGAGAUACUAAAUAUCUUGGAAAUAAAAUUAUGACCAAUAACAUAAUGACUUUGAUUGUUUAAAAGAAAUAUUUUAUCAGAAUUAUAUAAAAUGUUGUGAUAUCAAAUAGAUGUCGUUCGUUAAUAGAGUUUUAAAAUCGGAUUCAAUGUCCUCAGAGUGUUUAACAAAACUUUACAAGACAUUUUGGGAGAUAAAAAAUGUUUUUAAUGUUUAUUAUAGGAAUCAAAAGGACAAAUUUUCACAAACGUUAUCUGUAUGUAGGCUAUAGAAAGAAAAGUGUGUGGACUAGUAAUAUUAAUAAUGAUGAUUUGUAGAUAAUGUAGUUCAUAUUUUAAUACCCAUGUUGACAUGGGUUCCAUUCUAAACGAUUUGUGGUCAAUCAGGCCUUGUUAUUAAUGUUAUUAUUAUUUUUAUCUUCUUAUCUAUGGCCAUCAGGUCUACAGUGUUUACUUUGGUCAAUGUGUCUCGGAAUAAAAGGGGGUCCAUGUUUCAUGUGUGAUAAAGAUGCUAUGUUCUUAAUUUAGGGUGCAUAAAUCUUCUGGUGAGGAUUACAUCAACGUUUUGUAUCCCACCGAACAGUGACCAUCAGGUUUGAUAAAAUCCCACAAAAUGGAUGUAUUGUACACAUGAAGCCCCACCGAAUCUUGUAAAAAUUUUAAAAUUCAUAGAUUGAUUUAAAUUGGAUCAUAAAUUCCAGUGAAGUACAUCCUGAUAAAACUGCAUAACGCUUCAGACCUGCAAAACAGAGACUUAAAACAUGUUAUAGAGCCACUAAAUUUUUGCUCGGCUUGUACAAAAAAAAAUGUGGUAUCUCCCUUGUUAUAGCAUCUUAAUGCACUUUUUUUUUUACGCAAUUUCUGAUUCCAGCAAUUUAUGCUGAUUUUAGAAGUUUUGGUCCAUUUAUUUAAUCAGCACAUGGGAGUCUUAUAUCUUAUAAAGCAUACAUCCAACCCCAGACAUAAUAAUAAAGCAAUGUUGAUUAAAAAAAUAAAUAAAUAAAAAGGAAAAUAUGCAAAUACAUGCGUGGCUUCAAUCUUUAGUAAUGAGCAAUGGUACAAUGGUAUAGAAUUCAUCCCUACAUGAGAAUUCGCAUGGCUGGUUUUGUACUAUAACUCUAGAAUGACUUGUGUAAUUUCAGUUAUGUGUAUCUAUUAAAAACUGUGGUUUCAAUGAUGCAAA
This 7868-nucleotide unclassified non-coding RNA is filed under the name Anneissia japonica. RNAcentral describes it as "beta-adrenergic receptor kinase 2-like, transcript variant X4". The record is from RNAcentral. Lineage: Eukaryota; Metazoa; Echinodermata; Crinoidea; Comatulida; Comatulidae.